RNAcentral lists this ribosomal RNA (1326 nucleotides) under uncultured bacterium. RNAcentral's name for it is "bacterial SSU rRNA". It matches the Rfam family "Bacterial small subunit ribosomal RNA", at positions 27 to 1381 of the family's 1533-position model. The record is from RNAcentral.
GAAUGAACGCUGGCGGCAUGGAUUAGGCAUGCAAGUCGAACGGGACGCUUUCGGGUGUCUAGUGGCGAAAGGGUGAGUAACACGUGAGCAACCUGCCCCCGAGUCUGGAAUAAGCGAUGGAAACGUCGUCUAAUACCGGAUGAGGACUGGAGUCUCCUGACUCCAACUCCAAAGAUUUAUCGCUUGGGGAUGGGCUCGCGUCCCAUUAGCUGGUUGGCGGGGUAACGGCCCACCAAGGCGACGAUCAGUAGCCGGCCUGAGAGGGUGAACGGCCACACUGGAACUGAGACACGGUCCAGACUCCUACGGGAGGCAGCAGUGGGGAAUAUUGCACAAUGGAGGGAACUCUGAUGCAGCGACGCCGCGUGAGUGAAGAAGGUCUUCGGAUCGUAAAACUCUGCCCUUGGUGAAGAAAAGGACGGUAGCCAAGGAGGAAGCCCCGGCUAACUACGUGCCAGCAGCCGCGGUAAUACGUAGGGGGCGAGCGUUGUCCGGAUUUACUGGGCGUAAAGGGUGAGUAGGCGGUUAUAUAUGUCAGGUGUAAAAGAUCAUGGCUCAACCAUGGUUGGCACUUGAAACUGUAUGACUUGAGUGCAGGAGAGGUAAGCGGAAUUCCUAGUGUAGCGGUGAAAUGCGUAGAUAUUAGGAGGAACACCAGUGGCGAAGGCGGCUUACUGGACUGUAACUGACGCUGAGACACGAAAGCGUGGGUAGCAAACAGGAUUAGAUACCCUGGUAGUCCACGCUGUAAACGAUGAGUGCUAGGUGUUGGGUAGCGAUAUUCAGUGCCGGAGUAAACACAAUAAGCACUCCGCCUGGGGAGUACGUACGCAAGUAUGAAACUCAAAGGAAUUGACGGGGACCCGCACAAGCAGCGGAGCAUGUGGUUUAAUUCGAAGCAACGCGAAGAACCUUACCAAGGCUUGACAUCCCCUUGACCAGUGCAGAGAUGUACUCUCUUCUUCGGAAGCAAGGGAGACAGGUGGUGCAUGGUUGUCGUCAGCUCGUGUCGUGAGAUGUUGGGUUAAGUCCCGCAACGAGCGCAACCCUUAUCCUUAGUUGCCAGCAAGUUAAGGUGGGCACUCUAAGGAGACUGCCGGUGAUAAACCGGAGGAAGGUGGGGAUGACGUCAAAUCAUCAUGCCCCUUAUGUCUUGGGCUACACACGUGCUACAAUGGUCGGUACAACGGGGAGCGAAGGAGUGAUCCGGAGCAAAUCCCAAUAAACCGAUCCCAGUUCGGAUUGCAGGCUGCAACUCGCCUGCAUGAAGUCGGAGUUGCUAGUAAUCGCGAAUCAGCACGUCGCGGUGAAUGCGUUCCCGGGUCU